RNAcentral lists this ribosomal RNA (253 nucleotides) under uncultured bacterium. RNAcentral's name for it is "partial 16S ribosomal RNA". It matches the Rfam family "Bacterial small subunit ribosomal RNA", at positions 524 to 776 of the family's 1533-position model. The record is from RNAcentral.
UACGUAGGGGGCAAGCGUUGUCCGGAAUCAUUGGGCGUAAAGAGCGUGUAGGCGGCCCGAUAAGUCCGCUGUGAAAUCUCGAGGCUCAACUUCGAGCUGUCGGUGGAAACUGUCUGGCUAGAGUCCGGAAGAGGAGAAUGGAAUUCCUGGUGUAGCGGUGAAAUGCGCAGAUAUCAGGAAGAACACCCGUGGCGAAGGCGGUUCUCUGGGACGGUACUGACGCUGAGACGCGAAAGCGUGGGGAGCGAACAGG